UAAAAAUCGACAUGUAUUUCA
Caenorhabditis elegans is the source of this 21-nucleotide non-coding RNA. The record is from Ensembl. NCBI's taxonomy places the organism in Eukaryota, Metazoa, Nematoda, Chromadorea, Rhabditida, Rhabditidae.